Molecule: RNA transcript, 1853 nt
Organism: Peromyscus eremicus (cactus mouse)
Lineage: Eukaryota; Metazoa; Chordata; Mammalia; Rodentia; Cricetidae
Gene: Tex55
Gene name: testis expressed 55
Exons: 5
Source: RefSeq, a predicted model, not a curated record
UGAGGCCAGUCAGAGGUGCAGCAGAAAAUGGAUGAGCCUCCACAAGAGGCUCCAGAUGGAUCCUUGAACGGUGAAAACCCAGGCCAGUCCCCAAAUAACCAGGACACCUACACAGAAGGAGGAGCAGGCCAGGCUCCUCAAAGAGGUUCUGAUGAUGCUGGUGUUGGACCAUCCGAGCAAACUGGUGACAAGGCAUCCAACCAAGAUGCUAGUGCAGGAUCCGGACAGACUGACCAAAGAACUUCAGAAGAGGCUUCUCAGCCGACUGACCACAGGUCCCCUGGUCACACUGACAGGAGACCAUCUCAGCAGGUUGACCGUAGAUCAUCUGGCCAGGCUGAGAGAAGAACUUCUAAGCCAACUAGUCAGCAACUGCCCAGCCUACACGAGAGGAAAGUCUCCGAGAAGAUAGAAGACCGAGCGUCUUUGCCAUCUGGUGGGAAAACUUCUGAGCAGGCUGAUCAAGGAACUUGGGAGUAUGGUGAGCACACCUCAUCAGACCAAGCUGACUAUAGAACAUCAGGAAAGAGUCAACGCCAGUUCUACAACCAAGCUGAUGUGGCUGAAGAUGCCACUGAUCAACGUAAGUUUAGUGAAGGUUCAGAAAGGAACUAUGACAGUACUAGCCAUGAAACAGAAAAACCAGCUGACUACCGAUCAUACUACAAAACAAUUGCCCAGGCUGAGAACCGGUCAUUAUCUGAUAUCGAUGACACCAAAGAGGUCAAAGAAGCUGACUUCAAAAUACAGCCUUGCACAUUUGAAGAUAGCCAAACGGACCUCAAAUCCAAGGUUUCAACUGCCGGGGAAACAGAAAGUACAACCACUAUCCAAGCUUACAACCUACACGAUACCGAAUUCACCAGUGACUCCCAGUCCUCGUACGAAAAACUGCCCUCCAUCACAACCAAAACGUACUAUUCCUCCAGCCAAGACAAAUUUCAAAGCACAGAAAUCACUACUGAUAUUCAAACCGAAAUUGAGCAAAGAAAGGGUUCUCAGAGAACCAGUCAAACUUACACGAGGCGGUUCCCUCCAAUCAUUUUUGAAGACCCUUAUCAAGUUGCACUCCGCUACAUGGAAAAGCACAACAUUCUCCAGAUAUUCCAGCAUAUCACUGAAAACCUCGUCUAUGAAAAGCCGGAUGAUCCCCUGUAUUUCAUGCUCGACCAGGUACAGGAGAUGAUCAGAUACAGAGAGCAGCGGCGAAGCAUCUGAAGACAAGCCUCUCGCCAGCCUCGUGUCCUCUGUCAUCGGUGGCCGCGCUGCGCUCCACUCUCACUCGACCAAAUGUGUUUUCAGUAGGCAUUGGUGGUCACUCUGCCUAAAUGUGUUCUCGAUUUUUAGAUAAAGAUACUGCCUGCUGGUGUCAGCCUGGAAGAUGAGCUGAAAGCUGAUUGACAAGCGGGAACCUAUGGAACAAACUAGAGUGAUGUAAACUAAUUGGGUGGUCGAACAAAAUAACCUAAGGACUGAGAGGCCAUUCCUAUUAUUAGUGACAGAAAUAUGGAGUAUUAGCCAUGGUGUAUUAGCAUUGAAUCCAUGCCAGGUUGGUGCUGCAUACUUUUAAUUCUAGCAUUUAAAAACCAAAGAAGGACAAUCUGAAGUCCAAGACCAGCCUGGGCUAUGUAACAAGAUGAUCUCAAAUAUAAAAGGAAACAAAAAGGGACUGAUGAAAUGGCUCAGUGCAUAACAGCACUUUCCUCAAAAGCGGACAACCUGAGGUCGACCCCUGAAUCCCACAGUCAAAUGAAGGAACUGACUCUGGGGGGAAACAAGUUGUCCUCUGACCUCUACACUGUCAUUGCGGUGCACAUGUCCCACCAUGUCUUCCCCCAACACCACCAUGCCUU